UGAGAAAUUCAGGUGAUCGCUGGUUCCGUUAGUUCGGGACGAGAGGAAAGUCCGGGCUCCGCAGGGCAGGAUGCUCCCUAACGGGGAGUGGGGGCGACCCUAAGGAAAGUGCCACAGAGAAGAGACUGCCUGUCAGUUUAUCUGGCAGGUAACGGUGAAAAGGUGAGGUAAGAGCUCACCAGUUCCGUGGGUGACCACGGAAGCUUGGUAAACCCCAUCCGGAGCAAGACCAAAUAGGUAGGCGUUUAAGGGCUGCCCGUCCAAGGCCUACGGGUUGGUUGCUAGAGGUGGCGGGCAACCGUCAUCGUAGAGGAAUGAUCAUCGCCCCUUUUGGGGAGACAGAACCCGGCUUAUGAAUUUCUCAUCUU
RNAcentral lists this RNase P RNA (368 nucleotides) under Pseudomonadota bacterium. Its description in RNAcentral is "Proteobacteria bacterium (cold seep metagenome) RNase P RNA component class A". It matches the Rfam family "Bacterial RNase P class A". Rfam says of the family: Ribonuclease P (RNase P) is a ubiquitous endoribonuclease, found in archaea, bacteria and eukarya as well as chloroplasts and mitochondria. Its best characterised activity is the generation of mature 5'-ends of tRNAs by cleaving the 5'-leader elements of precursor-tRNAs. Lineage: Bacteria; Pseudomonadati; Pseudomonadota. The record is from RNAcentral.